RNAcentral lists this ribosomal RNA (497 nucleotides) under uncultured Yaniella sp. RNAcentral describes it as "bacterial SSU rRNA". It matches the Rfam family "Bacterial small subunit ribosomal RNA", at positions 8 to 507 of the family's 1533-position model. The record is from RNAcentral. Lineage: Bacteria; Bacillati; Actinomycetota; Actinomycetes; Micrococcales; Micrococcaceae.
AGAGUUUUGAUCCUGGCUCAGGAUGAACGCUGGCGGCGUGCUUAACACAUGCAAGUCGAACGCUGAAGCUCCCAGCUUGCUGGGGGUGGAGUGAGUGGCGAACGGGUGAGUAUCACGUGAGUAACCUGCCCUGAACUCUGGGAUAAGCCUGGGAAACUGGGUCUAAUACUGGAUAGGACUGGCCAUCGCAUGGUGGUUGGUUGAAAGCUUGAGGCGGUUUUGGAUGGACUCGCGGCCUAUCAGUUUGUUGGUGGGGUAAUGGCCUACCAAGGCUUUGACGGGUAGCCGGCCUGAGAGGGUGACCGGCCACACUGGGACUGAGACACGGCCCAGACUCCUACGGGAGGCAGCAGUGGGGGAUAUUGCACAAUGGGGGAAACCCUGAUGCAGCGACGCCGCGUGAGGGAUGACGGCCCUCGGGUUGUAAACCUCUUUCAGUUGGGAAGAAGCCCUUCGGGGUGACGGUACCUUCAGAAGAAGCACCGGCUAACUACGUG